UGGCGGACGGGUGAGUAAUGUCUGGGAAACUGCCUGAUGGAGGGGGAUAACUACUGGAAACGGUAGCUAAUACCGCAUAACGUCGCAAGACCAAAGAGGGGGACCUUCGGGCCUCUUGCCAUCGGAUGUGCCCAGAUGGGAUUAGCUAGUAGGUGGGGUAACGGGCUCACCUAGGCGGCGAUCCCUAGCUGGUCUGAGAGGAUGACCAGCCACACUGGAACUGAGACACGGUCCAGACUCCUACGGGAGGCAGCAUG
RNAcentral lists this ribosomal RNA (257 nucleotides) under uncultured bacterium. RNAcentral describes it as "partial 16S ribosomal RNA". It matches the Rfam family "Bacterial small subunit ribosomal RNA", at positions 96 to 353 of the family's 1533-position model. The record is from RNAcentral.